This 253-nucleotide ribosomal RNA is filed under the name uncultured bacterium. Its description in RNAcentral is "partial 16S ribosomal RNA". It matches the Rfam family "Bacterial small subunit ribosomal RNA", at positions 524 to 776 of the family's 1533-position model. The record is from RNAcentral.
UACGUAGGGUGCGAGCGUUGUCCGGAAUUAUUGGGCGUAAAGAGCUUGUAGGCGGUUUGUCGCGUCUGCUGUGAAAAUCCGGGGCUCAACCCCGGACUUGCAGUGGGUACGGGCAGACUAGAGUGUGGUAGGGGAGACUGGAAUUCCUGGUGUAGCGGUGAAAUGCGCAGAUAUCAGGAGGAACACCGAUGGCGAAGGCAGGUCUCUGGGCAUUAACUGACGCUGAGGAGCGAAAGCAUGGGGAGCGAACAGG